UGGGGAAUCUUGCACAAUGGAGGCAACUCUGAUGCAGCGACGCCGCGUGAGUGAUGAAGCCCUUCGGGGUGUAAAGCUCUUUCGACAGGAACGAUAAUGACGGUACCUGAAGAAGAAGCUGCGGCUAACUACGUGCCAGCAGCCGCGGUAAUACGUAGGCAGCGAGCGUUGUUCGGAAUUACUGGGCGUAAAGAGUGUGUAGGUGGUGAUCUAAGUCUGUCGUGAAAUCUCCCGGCUUAACUGGGAGGGUGCGGCGGAAACUGGAUCGCUAGAGUAUGGGAGAGGUAAGCGGAAUUCCUGGUGUAGCGGUGAAAUGCGUAGAUAUCAGGAGGAACACCUGUGGUGUAGACAGCUUACUGGACCAUUACUGACACUGAGACACGAAAGCGUGGGUAGCAAACAG
RNAcentral lists this ribosomal RNA (403 nucleotides) under uncultured bacterium. RNAcentral's name for it is "bacterial SSU rRNA". It matches the Rfam family "Bacterial small subunit ribosomal RNA", at positions 355 to 775 of the family's 1533-position model. The record is from RNAcentral.